GGGCGGGGCAACCCGCCAGUGGCGAACGGUUGAGUAACACGUAGACAACCUGCCUCCAAGUGGGGGAUAACUGCGGGAAACUGCAGCUAAUACCGCAUGUGGCCGGGCGCGGCAUCGCUCCCUGGCUAAAGGGGCAACUCGCUUGGAGGUGGGUCUGCGGCCUAUCAGCUUGUUGGUGGGGUAACGGCCCACCAAGGCGACGACGGGUAGCUGGUCUGAGAGGAUGAUCAGCCAGACGGGGACUGAGACACGGCCCCGACUCCUUCGGGAGGCAGCAAUGAGGGAUAUUGCGCAAUGGGGGAAACCCUGACGCAGCGACGCCGCGUGGGUGAGGAAGUCCUUCGGGAUGUAAAGCCCUUUUGACCGGGACGAACAAAAUGACGGUACCGGUCGAAUAAGCCCCGGCUAACUACGUGCCAGCAGCCGCGGUAAUACGUAGGGGGCAAGCGUUGUCCGGAUUUACUGGGCGUAAAGCGCGCGUAGGCGGAAGGUUAAGCGUGGCCUGAAAGCCCCCGGCUCAACCGGGGAGGGUGGCUGCGAACUGGCUUUCUUGAGGGCGAUAGAGGAGCGUGGAAUUCCUGGUGUAGCGGUGAAAUGCGUAGAGAUCAGGAGGAACACCCGUGGCGAAGGCGGCGCUCUGGAUCGGCCCUGACGCUGAGGCGCGAAAGCGUGGGGAGCGAACGGGAUUAGAUACCCCGGUAGUCCACGCCGUAAACGAUGGUCACUAGGUGUGUGCGGUAUCGACCCCGCACGUGCCGAAGCUAACGCAUGAAGUGACCCGCCUGGGGAGUACGGCCGCAAGGUUGAAACUCAAAGGAAUUGACGGGGGCCCGCACAAGCGGUGGAGCAUGUGGAUUAAUACGUCACUAACCGUAGAACCUUACCCAGGCUUGACAUCCCGGG
This 903-nucleotide ribosomal RNA is filed under the name uncultured Actinomycetes bacterium. Its description in RNAcentral is "bacterial SSU rRNA". It matches the Rfam family "Bacterial small subunit ribosomal RNA", at positions 68 to 993 of the family's 1533-position model. The record is from RNAcentral. Lineage: Bacteria; Bacillati; Actinomycetota; Actinomycetes.